This 253-nucleotide ribosomal RNA is filed under the name uncultured bacterium. RNAcentral's name for it is "partial 16S ribosomal RNA". It matches the Rfam family "Bacterial small subunit ribosomal RNA", at positions 524 to 776 of the family's 1533-position model. The record is from RNAcentral.
UACGAGGGGGGCAAGCGUUGUUCGGAAUUAUUGGGCGUAAAGAGCUCGUAGGCGGUCUGUCGCGUCGGCUGUGAAAACCCGGGGCUCAACCCCGGGCCUGCAGUCGAUACGGGCAGACUAGAGUGCGGUAGGGGAGACUGGAAUUCCUGGUGUAGCGGUGAAAUGCGCAGAUAUCAGGAGGAACACCGGUGGCGAAGGCGGGUCUCUGGGCCGUAACUGACGCUGAGGCGCGAAAGCGUGGGGAGCAAACAGG